CUUCCCAGCCCCGCCCGCCGCCCCGCGCCGCCACCUGCGGGCCGCCCUCCAGGAUGCCCGCCGGCCACGUCCUAGUCGCCUGGAGCCGCGCCCCGCCUUCCUCGCCCGCGGCUGCCCCUGCACUUUUACCCACGCCGUGGGGCACAGAGAAGUAUCCGGUAAAGACCUGGAUCCGGAAAAGCUGAUCACAUCCCUCCCCGAGCGCUUAUUUACUUCUAGCACUUCUCGGGGUCCUUCCAGAGUCAGUCUAAGAGAAGGAUGGGACCCCCGCGGCCCGGGGCGCUGAUUGUCGUGAACACAGUGGAAGUCCAGGCGUUCUGUUCCUGCAGGGCGGGCUGUCUCCUAGCAAAGCCGCCCUUAGGCUUAAAUGGAGGGAGGAUGGAGCCGGGGACGGGGGGAAGGCUGGAGGGGAUGGAACUGGCUGUUGGACUAAGAUGCCACCAAAGGGUGACAGGCAGGGGGCUGGCGGACAGCAGAGAGGGGAUCAGGAACCGAUCCAGGAAGUAAGAGCUCACAGGCCACUCUAUUAUGCAAAUCACUUGUGGACGGUUUAACAGGGAACAACCCACAUGAUCUCAUUUCCAGUUGAGGCUACUGAGUCUACUUCUUUUCAACCCAGGGGUCAUAGAGGACAUUGGGAGGACUUGAAGAAGACUCAGACCAGAACCAAAGGUGUAAGGAAACUAAACCCUGCAAAACCUGAUUUCUCAUACUGGCAUAGACUUGACUUGAAGAGAUCAUCAAGUGUAUAGUGAAGAUUGGCUCAGGCAAGAAUCAUCCAUGAAUGCUUACUCUAGGGGGCUGUUACUGGCUGGCAGAUAUUUGUCUGGGUUGAUGUGUCUCCCCAUAGAUGGUUUAGACCUGUUAGUAGCAAAAGCGGAAAUAGUAACUAUACAAAGAGGCAGGCAGACAGCAUCUUAACCAGGUGAUCAAAAUUUACAUCACCAAUGAGAGCAGAUGGAUAUCAUGUCCACAUCAGCUAUGCAGUAUUCCUGGGGACAAUGCAUAACCUGAAUCAUGAUAGUGAAACAUCGGACAAACCCAAAAUGAGGAACAUCUAUUAAAAAGAGGAAGGGUCUGUAUUAUUCAAAAAUGUCAAGGUCAUUAAAAUCAAAAGAAAGCUUGGGAAAUGUUCCAGAUUAAAGGGUGCAAAAGAGUCAGGGCAGCUAAAUGCCAUGCCUGAUCCUAGACUGCAUCCUGUGCUAGAGGAGGGGAAAUACAUCACGGACAUUCCAGCUGACAAAAUCAGAAUCCAUGUAAGAGAUUAAAGUAUUGGAUCAAUGUUAAAUGUACUGAUGUUGAUAACUUCCACUGUAA
This 1317-nucleotide long non-coding RNA is filed under the name Homo sapiens (human). RNAcentral's name for it is "non-protein coding lnc-ULK4-14:3". Lineage: Eukaryota; Metazoa; Chordata; Mammalia; Primates; Hominidae. The record is from RNAcentral.